This 465-nucleotide ribosomal RNA is filed under the name Vreelandella stevensii. RNAcentral's name for it is "partial 16S ribosomal RNA". It matches the Rfam family "Bacterial small subunit ribosomal RNA", at positions 338 to 795 of the family's 1533-position model. Lineage: Bacteria; Pseudomonadati; Pseudomonadota; Gammaproteobacteria; Oceanospirillales; Halomonadaceae. The record is from RNAcentral.
CCUACGGGGGGCUGCAGUGGGGAAUAUUGGACAAUGGGGGCAACCCUGAUCCAGCCAUGCCGCGUGUGUGAAGAAGGCCCUCGGGUUGUAAAGCACUUUCAGUGAGGAAGAACGCCUGGUGGUUAAUACCCAUCAGGAAAGACAUCACUCACAGAAGAAGCACCGGCUAACUCCGUGCCAGCAGCCGCGGUAAUACGGAGGGUGCGAGCGUCAAUCGGAAUUACUGGGCGUAAAGCGCGCGUAGGUGGCUUGAUAAGCCGGUUGUGAAAGCCCCGGGCUCAACCUGGGAACGGCAUCCGGAACUGUCAAGCUAGAGUGCAGGAGAGGAAGGUAGAAUUCCCGGUGUAGCGGUGAAAUGCGUAGAGAUCGGGAGGAAUACCAGUGGCGAAGGCGGCCUUCUGGACUGACACUGACACUGAGGUGCGAAAGCGUGGGUAGCAAACAGGAUUAGAUACCCUGGUAGUC